CUACCGAUUGAAUGGCUCAGUGAGGCCUUCGGACUGGCUCGAGGAGGUUGGCAACGACCACCUCAAGCCGGAAAGUUGUACAAACUCGGUCAUUUAGAGGAAGUAAAAGUCGUAACAAGGUUGAUUCUUCGCACACUUGCGGGAGCCUUUGCAGCUGGAGACAGUAGCCCAACGACUAUAAACAAUCCGGUGCCUCAUGCAAGUCAGCUCCGGCUGGCGACACUUUCGAAUUGCGGGGAACCCCUAAGAGCCCUUCACACCAAGCCAGCCUGGGAAACCAGCUGGUGGCCCAUUGGAAACCAUGGGGUACGGUAACAGUUGAAGGGAUGAUCCGGCACCGCGAGGUGCCCGGUGAAAUGGGCAAUCCGCAGCGAAGCCCCUGGCGUUGAUGGUAGCGGUCUGCCGCAGCCAAACGUGGGGAACGUUCACAGACUAAGUGGAAGUGGGUGGAGCGCUGCAAAGCUCUCUGCUUAAGAUAUAGUCGGGCCCCCUCGGAAACGUGGGGGAUGAACAAACGUUCCGUAGGUGAACCUGCGGAAGGAUCAUU
This 547-nucleotide ribosomal RNA is filed under the name Pseudocamarosporium brabeji. RNAcentral's name for it is "partial 18S ribosomal RNA". The stretch from base 81 to 505 matches the Rfam family "Group I catalytic intron". Rfam says of the family: Group I catalytic introns are large self-splicing ribozymes. They catalyse their own excision from mRNA, tRNA and rRNA precursors in a wide range of organisms. The core secondary structure consists of 9 paired regions (P1-P9). Lineage: Eukaryota; Fungi; Ascomycota; Dothideomycetes; Pleosporales; Didymosphaeriaceae. The record is from RNAcentral.